GAAUCGCAUGGCCUUGAGCCGGCGACAUAUCCAUCGAAGGUGUGCCCUAUCAUCUGUCGACUGUGGCAUAGACGCCCACAGUGGAUUUGACGGGUAACGGGGAAUCAGGGUUCGAUUCCGGAGAGGGAGCCUUAAAAACGGCUACCACAUCCAAGGAAGGCAGCAGGCACGCAAAUUACCCAAUGACCGAAGGUCGAGGUAGUGACGAAAAAUAACGAUACGGGACUCAUCCGAGGCCCCGUAAUCGGAAUGAGUACACUUUAAAACCUUUCCAACGAGGAUCUAUUGGAGGGCAAGUCUGGUGCCAGCAGCCGCGGUAAUUCCAGCUCCAAUAGCGUAUAUUAAAGUUGUUGCGGUUAAAAAGCUCGUAGUUGGAUCUCGGCGGCUAGAGGGCGGUAUGCUUCGUAGCAUUACUGCUCUAUUAGCCGUAGUUUUGCUAGAGGUUUCUGGGUGCUCUUAAUCGAGUGUCUAGGGAUGCUAGCGGGUUUACUUUGAAAAAAUUAGAGUGCUCAAAGCAGGCUAUUACGCUUGAAUAUUCGUGCAUGGAAUAAUAGAAUAGGAAGUUGUUUCUAUUUUGUUGGUUUUCGGAAAUCGACUUAAUGAUUAAUAGGGACAGUCGGGGGCAUUUGUAUUCAAACGACAGAGGUGAAAUUCUUGGACCGUUUGAAGACAAGCUACUGCGAAAGCAUUUGCCAAGAAUGUUUUCAUUAAUCAAGAACGAAAGUUAGAGGUUCGAAGGCGAUUAGAUACCGCCCUAGUUCUAACCAUAAACGAUGCCAGCUAGCGAUCUGAGGACGUUUUUUUUGUAGACUCCUCAGGAAGCUUCCGGGAAACCAAAGCGUGUGGGUUCCGGGGGAAGUAUGGUUGCAAAGCUGAAACUUAAAGGAAUUG
RNAcentral lists this ribosomal RNA (891 nucleotides) under uncultured eukaryote. RNAcentral's name for it is "SSU rRNA". It matches the Rfam family "Eukaryotic small subunit ribosomal RNA", at positions 266 to 1155 of the family's 1831-position model. The record is from RNAcentral.